This 457-nucleotide ribosomal RNA is filed under the name uncultured bacterium. RNAcentral's name for it is "bacterial SSU rRNA". It matches the Rfam family "Bacterial small subunit ribosomal RNA", at positions 347 to 793 of the family's 1533-position model. The record is from RNAcentral.
GGCAGCAGUGGGGAAUAUUGCACAAUGGGGGAAACCCUGAUGCAGCCAUGCCGCGUGUGUGAAGAAGGACCUUCGGGUGUUAAAGCACUUUCAGUAGGGAGGAAGGUAGUGUAGUUAACACCUGCAUUAUUUGACGUUACCUACAGAAGAAGCACCGGCUAACUCCGUGCCAGCAGCCGCGGUAAUACGGAGGGUGCGAGCGUUAAUCGGAAUUACUGGGCGUAAAGCGCAUGCAGGCGGCCUGUUAAGUCAGAUGUGAAAGCCCGGGGCUUAACCUCGGAAUUGCAUUUGAAACUGGCAGGCUAGAGUCUUGUAGAGGGGGGUAGGAAUUUCAGGUGUAGCGGUGAAAUGCGUAGAGAUCUGAAGGAAUACCAGUGGCGAAGGCCGGCCCCCUGGACAAAGACUGACGCUCAGAUGCGAAAGCGUGGGGAGCAAACAGGAUUAGAUACCCUGGUAG